GUCGUUGUCCUGACAACGAGUCUCGAGAGCAUUUGUUUGAUUACUUGUAACAGUAAAUCAGCGUCUUUUCCGUAGUGUCUACUGCAGGAUGGAUAUAAAAGUAUAAAACACGUUUUGGUUUGACACCAUCGUUCAUAUGUGAACUAUCACAAUUAAAGCACAAAGACAUAACAACAUUACACCCCGAGACCAUUCACAAGUGCGACAAAAGAGAAGAAACGCUUUCCGGAAGAGAAGUUCAUCAGGCGAGUUGGAGACUAGUCGACUCAUCCAGUUUAGCGGAGAGCAUCAACCCCUAAUUGAUAUGAGGAAAGACAUACAGUGUACCCCUCUUUGCAACAGAGGAAGCAUUAGGAAAGAGGAGAAGAGAGAACGUGAGAAGGCACUCAACAGAUGUUGGUGAGACUUGAUUUCUGGAAAUGCUUUAAAGGUCACUCACAUUCUAGUUAGCCACAAAUGUAAACCUGAUUUUAGAUAGUGUUUAAAUGUGAUUAAUAACUCCAGCUACUUGUAGGCCUACAGUCCUGUAUAUUUCACACUAAAUUGUGAUGCAGCCUGAAUCAUAAUCACACCAUGUUCAUUUGUUGGCCAGAGGGGAACUGAUCCCUAAACUAAACAUACUUUCUCCCAAUGUUUUUUUUCUCCAUUCUGUCACCUGAUGGAGUUUGGGUUCCUUUACCGCUGUUGACUUUUGGCGUGCUUAUUUGGGGACUAAUAAUAUUCAGCAAUAUUAUUGAUCUGACUCCACUGACACUAUUGAUGAGGACUGAACUGAGCUAGAUGAUGACACCACUGCUAUCUAGAUGCACUUAAAUUAUUUUAUAUUUGAUGAUUUUUAUACAGUUAAUCGAAAUUAACUGAGUCAACACUGAUUUCAACUGAACAAUGACACGUUUUAUUGUUUAGAGCUGCUUCACAGCAGACGUGAAUUCUGUUUGCAUCAUUAUUUUUCUUUCGAUCACUGUAAAGCAGCUUUGAAACAAUCUGUAUUGUAUAAAGCGCUAUAUAAAUAAUGGUGACUUGACUUAAAUUGGUUCAAAUCUUCAAAAAAAAGUGCAUGAAACAGGCAACCUGAAUAAACACAAACUACAGUUUAUUAAUGAUAACUGUAUUUGCCUUUGUUUUAUGUUAAUUUUCUUAGGAAUAUCUGACAAUAUUUAGUGCUGGAUAUACACAAAAAUAGAAUAAAUCAGGAUUUUUUUUCACAGCACUGUACACCAGCAUUUAUGUGCGGUAGUGUGACAUUAAUGUGUGGAAAUGGACAUUUUAUCAGUGUGUGAUUACUAUAUUCAGGAAAAUGCGCUGGUAACAACUAAAAAAAGACGUCCAAAAAUAUAAUUCAACAGAGGAUGAUGGCUGUGGUGAAACAAGCACUCAAAUAAUGAAACUAAGACCUGUGGGAGUGCUGGACAAAUCAAGUGUAUAAGUCCUCUGUCGUCGUCAGCCAUGUAAGAGAUCUUCAGACAUGAAGAGAUUGAGGAGUUAAAUGAAAUCAUAGAGCUAAAAGAAGAUUUACAAUAUUAGUGCCAUUUCAGUAUGAAAACAGAGAGAGAGCUGAGGCAGUGGAAAGAAAUGCAUGUUAUUGUGCAAGGGGUAGUUGCAUGGACUAUCAGUGGAGGAACAGAAAGCUCUGAGAUUUCAUUAUAAAAAGAUCUUCAGUUGUGUUCUGAAGAUGAACGAAAGACUUGCGGGUUUGGAACGUCAUGAGGACUACAUCCAAAAUAGUGUUUCCACAUCUGAGAUGAAGGCAGUCAUAAGAACCAAGCGGAACGAUGAGGAUAAGCUCUUCAAAAAAUGAAACCUGUCUGAAUAAUGAGGGAAGAAAUGUGUGUGAUUGUGUGAUUUGUAAAUAAACACUAAGUACAUUUAGUGUAACUCUCAGCCUAUUAUUUUAAGUUUAAAGAAAAGUAAAAUCAUUUAUUGUUGCAUUGCUGUUUGAGACAUUCACUGUUUUUUUGUACCUUAAUUUAUUAUAUUGCAGUUGUGUAAA
This is a long non-coding RNA of Onychostoma macrolepis, 1990 nucleotides long. RefSeq lists it as uncharacterized. The record is from RefSeq and is a predicted model, not a curated record. The transcript has 5 exons. NCBI's taxonomy places the organism in Eukaryota, Metazoa, Chordata, Actinopteri, Cypriniformes, Cyprinidae.